This 207-nucleotide long non-coding RNA is filed under the name Theobroma cacao (cacao). RNAcentral describes it as "long non-coding RNA (TCAC_LNC002133)". Lineage: Eukaryota; Viridiplantae; Streptophyta; Magnoliopsida; Malvales; Malvaceae. The record is from RNAcentral.
UUCACAGAGCAAGUAUAAUCUGUCAACUACUCAAGUUCUUCAACAUUGUAUAUACCUUGAGGCUUCAACAAAGGGAAGAUGAGUAGAUGAUAGCAACUGCAAGAGACCACCGACGACUGGCAAGGAGUAUGGCAACGGCAGCAAGGGGUCGACGACGACAAUUGAUGAGGACCAAGGAAGAAGCCAAGAAGGUUUUCUGGGUUUCAA